Molecule: ribosomal RNA, 425 nt
Filed under: uncultured Janthinobacterium sp.
Lineage: Bacteria; Pseudomonadati; Pseudomonadota; Betaproteobacteria; Burkholderiales; Oxalobacteraceae
Description: bacterial SSU rRNA
Rfam family: Bacterial small subunit ribosomal RNA
Source: RNAcentral
ACAUGCAAGUCGAACGGCAGCACGGAGCUUGCUCUGGUGGCGAGUGGCGAACGGGUGAGUAAUAUAUCGGAACGUACCCUGGAGUGGGGGAUAACGUAGCGAAAGUUACGCUAAUACCGCAUACGAUCUACGGAUGAAAGUGGGGGAUCGCAAGACCUCAUGCUCGUGGAGCGGCCGAUAUCUGAUUAGCUAGUUGGUAGGGUAAAAGCCUACCAAGGCAUCGAUCAGUAGCUGGUCUGAGAGGACGACCAGCCACACUGGAACUGAGACACGGUCCAGACUCCUACGGGAGGCAGCAGUGGGGAAUUUUGGACAAUGGGCGAAAGCCUGAUCCAGCAAUGCCGCGUGAGUGAAGAAGGCCUUCGGGUUGUAAGGCUCUUUUGUCAGGGAAGAAACGGUGAGGGCUAAUAUCUCUUGCUAAUGAC